This 2853-nucleotide unclassified non-coding RNA is filed under the name Portunus trituberculatus (swimming crab). Its description in RNAcentral is "stress response protein NST1-like, transcript variant X2". The record is from RNAcentral. Lineage: Eukaryota; Metazoa; Arthropoda; Malacostraca; Decapoda; Portunidae.
AUUUUAUUUGUUUAUACUGUGUUUUGACUUUCAUUUGACACUGGAGUCUCCGAGAACAACAGUGAUGGCUGACUGUCAACACUAGACGGGGAUGUGCAGCCCCUUCGCCUUAUAGCAACCUUAUUUUGAGCUGAAUACUAUAGAUAUACGAGCUUCAGUUGUGUGUCCUCAUCAUGUCCACUGACCCAGCCACAUUUGUGGCUGGUGUCCCUGUGAAGAUUAGUGAGAAGUAUAGGCCUCCACGGAAAAUAAGUCUCCCAGCCUCCUGCCAGCACCAGAUUAACUCAGAGCUCCUCACCCAAGAUUAUGAUUUCGCUGUGGAGAAAACUACAAUUCAGUGGGUGCAGGAACGAAGAAAUAGGAUAGAGAAAGAGGAAAGAAAGCGACAAGAAAGAAUAGCUAAAUAUGAACAGAAGAAAGCAGAAAUUAAAGCAAAAGAGGAGGAGGAAGAGAGACUGAGAAAAGAAAAAGAAGAAAUUAUUAAACAGGAAAAGGAGAAUGAGAGACUCAAAAAGGAGGAGGAGGAAAAGAGCAGACUGGAAGAGGAAGAGGAUAUCAGAAGAUUGGAGGAAGAAGUAAAUCAGGAAGAACAAACUCAGGAAACAGAAAAGACAAACAAAGAUGAUGCUGAGGAAGUGACUGCCACCACCAACGCUAGCCAAAUGGGUGAGAUAAAUGGUAAUGACUCAAUAGCAACAAGUGGCAUUAAUCAGAUUAGUCCUGAGGUUGCAUCACACGAAGCUCCACAGGCUUUUUCCGCUUCCACAUCUGAAGAAACAAGUUAUUGUUCAAGCGGUGUAAUUAACAAUGCUAGCAUAGCUUGCAGAACUGAGACGACUAAUGUAUCUAAUAAUGCAUCAUCUUAUGGCCUUAUGCUUCAACCAACACCAUUUCCAUCUAAUAAGUCUGUAAGGUCUCCCUCUAAAACACCAGCUAAUAUUAAUUUUGCUGACUUUGAAGGGGAAGGUAAUGAUCCUUUUGACAGUGCCGCUUUAAAAUCAAUCAAUGAUAUGGAGGAGCUUGCUAAAGUACUUGAUUCAUCACACAUCACUCAAAAACCUGUGGAAGGAACAAACUCUGCACAGGCUCCUACUAAGGAGAGCCAAACAUAUCAUAAUGUAUACCCAAAUGGACAAUUAACAUAUGGUGCAUUUGGACAGUAUCCAUACUUCAUGCCUCCACAACAGCAGCAUCUGCAACAAUCAUUACAACAGCAGAAUAUGACACAGCAGAGGCCAGGGUUCCCACAGUAUGGAAAUCAUUUGGCUAAAAAUCCUCAAGUAACCCAAACAUCUUCCACACCUUCUUCAUCAGAUCCACAAUAUGCCAAGGAUCCUGCCAGGACUUUCCAAAACAAAUACUAUCCUCAGCCUUGGGGGAGUGGAUAUAAUGUAAAUAGUCCAAGCAAAACUGCACAGUUUGUGCCUUAUGACUAUUGCCUCCAAGCUGCAAAUCUAGCCAAUAGUAUAUCUAAUACAACACAAGGAGUAAUGAGCCCAAGUAAUAACACAGGGAAUGCAUCGACUCUUCCUACUUACACUAGUGGUGGUGGUUCUACUGUGCAGUCCGUUGACAGAGGAUCAACAGUUAGUAAAAGACAAGACUUGGAGGAUUUCUAUUCAAAAUAUUACUUGCAUAACAAAUGCCAUGUUCAACAAAAUCAGCAGUCUGGAAUACAAUCAGGUGAGUCAACACCAAGUCACAGCAGCAGUUCUGGUGCUGCGGGAUCAACCACUGGGUCGCUGCGGUCUUGUCGGAGUGUGCCAGACUUGACUGCAGCUGAAGAUUCAGAAGUAACUAAAUACAGCAGUGGUCUGCAGUCCCAAAAUGAAAGUCGAGGAGUCUCACAUACACCACCUCCACGCCCUUCAAGCACAGGACUUACUGGCCUGGAGGAUUGGAAACCUCUGCCAGAUAUUUCAGGAUUAUCUGAGAUAUCAUCCAAUCAACACCUUUAUCAGUCUUCACCUGUCCAGCAUCCAGCCAUCUCUUCCCUACACACUCCAAUCAAGUCCCGCCUUCCAGACCCCUUUGGGGAACUGACAACAGAUGCUCAGGCCUUAGUCCAGAACAUGGCAGAAAUGGGCUUCCCUCGUCCCCGAGUAGCAAGAGCUGUUCAAAAACUUGGGACAGACCACAAAAAGCUUAUUGAAGUUUUGUUAGAGCUGCAGUCACUUCAAGGGAAUGGAGAAGAUGGCUACAAAGCAGAGCGUGCAUUUUAUCAUUACAUGGGAGAUAUACAGAAAACAAAAGAUCAUUUGGCAGCUGCAAAACAACUUUUGGAUCUUGGCUUUGAAGAGGAGCAGAUUGUGGAUGCCCUCCUGAAGCAUGACAAUGACCGUGAUAAGGCUUUGGAGGAACUCAUUGCUUAGGUAGCAGAGCACUUCAGAGACACCCACACCAUUGUUACUAUGUGCAUACACUCAAUUUCAGUGUAGUAGCCUGUGAGAAAGUAUUUUUGACAUUUCCAACUGAUAUGCAUUCACUUCACAUUGAGCUCAACAGCUGCAAGUCUCCAGUCCUUCACACCAGCAUCCUCCUACUUACUUUUUUAUGUACUCAUAUAGAUUUUACCAUGUAGUUUUCCAUAGUAUUAUUAUUUACCAUGGAUUUAUGUUAUAUUUUGUAGUUUAUAUGUAUUGUCUAUCAUAGUUUUGUAUUCCAGAAGUAUACUUCAUUAUCCUAAGAAUGAUGGGCAGCGAUGAGCUGCUAUAACAUUCUCAUAACUUUGUGAUAUGUGUAAUUCUAUUGAAAACCUACCCAUACUGGGAGCCAUAUAAAAGUUGUACUCUAGAAUUAUUGAGGUUUCUUUGAAUGAUCUCAGGACUUUAAAUAAUAUGUAUCUUCAUAAGA